Long non-coding RNA from Hippoglossus stenolepis (Pacific halibut), 148 nucleotides. RefSeq lists it as uncharacterized. Lineage: Eukaryota; Metazoa; Chordata; Actinopteri; Pleuronectiformes; Pleuronectidae. The transcript has 3 exons. The record is from RefSeq and is a predicted model, not a curated record.
GCAUAUCAAGACCGGUUACCAGAACGAGCUUGCCUAACCGUAAAGCUGAUGGCUCUUUUGCUGUGUGGGCCCAUCACAAAAGUAGCUCCUGGCUGACAGCAUACGUUACCAAGGUGUUCGCCAUGGCCAACAGUCUGCGGCAGUGCAG